Molecule: signal recognition particle RNA, 281 nt
Filed under: Microcebus murinus (gray mouse lemur)
Lineage: Eukaryota; Metazoa; Chordata; Mammalia; Primates; Cheirogaleidae
Description: Metazoan signal recognition particle RNA (ENSMICG00000029398.2)
Rfam family: Metazoan signal recognition particle RNA
About the family: The signal recognition particle (SRP) is a universally conserved ribonucleoprotein. It is involved in the co-translational targeting of proteins to membranes. The eukaryotic SRP consists of a 300-nucleotide 7S RNA and six proteins: SRPs 72, 68, 54, 19, 14, and 9.
Source: RNAcentral
GCCGGGCAUGGUGGCACAUGCCUGUAGUCCUAGCUACUCGGGAGGCUGAGGCAGGAGGAUUGCUUGAGCCCAGGAGAUUGAGGUUGCUGUGAGCUAGGCUGAUGCCACGGCACUCACUCUAGCCCGGGCAACAAAGUGAGACUCUGUCUCAAAAAAAAAAAAAAAAUUACUUCAACCUACUCAGGAGGUUGAAGCAGGAGGUUGAGGCUAUAGUGUGCUGUAUCAGACCUGUGAGUAACUACUGCACUCCAGCCUGGGCAACAUGGCAAGACUCUGUCUCU